GGUGAAAAGCACCCCGGAAGGGGAGUGAAAUAGAACCUGAAACCGUGUGCUUACAAGUAGUCAGAGCCCGUUAAUGGGUGAUGGCGUGCCUUUUGUAGAAUGAACCGGCGAGUUACGAUUUGAUGCAAGGUUAAGCAGUAAAUGUGGAGCCGUAGCGAAAGCGAGUCUGAAUAGGGCGUUUAGUAUUUGGUCGUAGACCCGAAACCAGGUGAUCUACCCUUGGUCAGGUUGAAGUUCAGGUAACACUGAAUGGAGGACCGAACCGACUUACGUUGAAAAGUGAGCGGAUGAACUGAGGGUAGCGGAGAAAUUCCAAUCGAACCUGGAGAUAGCUGGUUCUCUCCGAAAUAGCUUUAGGGCUAGCCUCAAGUGAUGAUUAUU
Molecule: ribosomal RNA, 381 nt
Filed under: Staphylococcus aureus
Lineage: Bacteria; Bacillati; Bacillota; Bacilli; Caryophanales; Staphylococcaceae
Description: partial 23S ribosomal RNA
Rfam family: Bacterial large subunit ribosomal RNA
Source: RNAcentral